GGUCCUCUUCAGAUGGUGAACAUUGCACAAAAUGCCCAGAAGAUCAGCAUCCAAAUAAGAACCAAGAUCAAUGUGUUCUCAAGAUUAUCAGCUUCCUGGCUUAUGAAGAACAUCUGGGGAUCAGCUUAGCUUUCAUUGCCCUAUUCCUGUCUGUAAUGCCAGACAUGGUGUUAGGAAUCUUCAUUAAAUACAAGGAAACUCCAAUAGUCAAAGCCAACAACUGGGACCUCUCCUACAUCCUCUUAGUCUUCCUCCUGCUUUCCUUUUUAUCCUCUUGUCUCUUCAUACGCUGGCCAAGGAAAGUGACCUGCCUUCUCAGACAAACAGUCUUCAGCCUUAUCUUCUCAGCUGCUGUUUCUUCUGUAUUAGCAAAAAAUAUCACUGUGGUGCUGGCCUUCCUGGCCACCAAACCCAGAAGCAGGGUGAGGAGAUGGUUGGGGUCUGGCCAACUCCAUUGUCAUUUCCUGAUCCGGUGUCCAAGUUGUCAUCUGCACCAUCUGGCUGGGCAUGUCUCCCCCUUUCCCGGAGUCUGACAUGCACUCCCAGCCCCGAGAGAUCAUCCUGCAGUGUAAUGAAGGAUCUGUUGCCAUGUUUUACACUGUCCUUGGCUACAUGGACUUCCUGGCUGCCAUCUGCUUCACAAUGGCUUUCCUAGCCAGGAAGCUGCCUGGGGCCUUCAAUGAAGCCAAGUUGACCUUCAGCAUGCUGGUCUUCUGCAGUGUUUGGGUGUCCUUUGUGCCCACCUACCUGAGCACAAAGGGGAAAUACAUGGUAGGUGUUCAGGUUUUCUCUAUGUUGGCCUCCAGUGCUGGGCUUCUGGGCUGCAUCUUCAUUCCCAAAUGCUACAUUAUUUUUCUGAGGCCUGAUCUGAAUACAAAGGAGCACCUGACAACAAAAGAUUAAGAUGCCAUUUAUAUUUUAAAAUAUUCAAAAUUGAUUAUACCCAGUACUACAGAACUCAAACACACAUAGUUGUGUCUAAAACAUAUUGCUUUAUCACAGCUCAGGGCUCCUUUAUGAGCACAGAGCAAAACAAAAUUAUCCCCCAACCAGACACAGGACUUAGAAAUUGGCCUUCCCUACCUUUUAUCAUAUGUGGUGGAAUUGUAAAAUAAUGAAAGAACUCUGGGAAACGAUUUAUAAUGAAUUGAAAAAAAAAAUGUUUAAGAUAAUGUUUGUUAAAAAACCAGAAGCUUUCUUAUUAGGAAUUAUAGGUGCAGAAAUACUGAAGCAGCAGAAAAAGGCUGUUUAUGUACCCAAUGGCAGCUGCUAGAAUGCUUGUGGCCCAGAGAUGGAAAGACAACAAGGUCCCUACCAUAGAGGAAUGGCAAAUUAAAUUGAUGGACUAGGCUGAAAUGUCAAAAAAUGACUGGGAAAAUCAGAAACCAGGAAGAUCAAGACUUUAAUAAAGAGUGGGGGAAAUUUAUAGUGUAUUUGGAAGACCACUCUAAACAACUGAUCCCUUUAACAGGGCUUAUCUAGCACUUGAAGGUAACAAAGACUUGGGAUAUAAUGAACAAAUGGAAUAUCUUAUUGAUAUAAAUUACGCAGUAGAAAAGGACAAAUAUGGAACUCAGGGAAAGGUGGAGGGAAGUCAUCUAGUCAGAAUAGUUUUAGGCAUUCUUGACAAUGGUUGCCAAGGAAAUUGGAACUCUGGGAAAGUGACAGUUGGAGGCAGUUCUGCUGUGGGAGUUAGAAGGAGGAAUGGAGGGCUGAUGUGGAGGAAUAAUGGGAGAUGCCCUCUUGGGUGCACGAACCAACUGAGGCUGUGAGGGCAUGUCAGAAGAAAGGUAGCACUUAAAUAGCUAUGACUACUAUUACUGAAAUCCUAGGACUAGGAAAGACCCCAGGUGCUCAGACAAUAUCAUGGAAGUUAUGGCACUUGGGAAUCUGGGAGACAGGCUCUCAAGAGCACAUAUGUUUAGGCAGGAAACCAUUCAGGUCCAGUGCAAGAAGUUACCUCAUAUUGCUCUUGAGUCUGAUGUUUAGUUGAUUGUUUUCAAAGGUGAUCUCUAGUUAAAUCCCCGGAGCUUUGGCAGGAAGAAGAAUAAUUAUAAGGGGAAGAAGCAUCACCUUGGCAACAUCCUGGAGUCUCUGUGGGGCUUAAGGCCCAAGUGCAAAGUUGGAGGAAAACAUGUUUAUGAGAACUUGCAGAAGGUGGCUCUCUGGUCUCAACAUGGGUCAGUUUGGGAGGGUGGGGAGGACAUGUAAGCUUGGCCUGGCCUUUCCUGACAAAACACUUUCAUUAGAGUGAGGUAUUAUUUUAGGGUGUUACCAAUGUUUGUCCUACUCAGAGUAGACCCAUUGAAAUGAAGAUGCAUGAUUAACUUUGGUUCAUUGGGUGGGAUUCAAUGAACUUGUUGCAUACAUGGAUGCAACAAUCCCUCAUGUGAUGGGACUUCCCACCUCCUCAUUUAAUGUGCCCCCUAAAUCUGUGAGAACUCACUGUCCAAAGGGUCAUGAUAACCAGCAUGUACUUCAAUUACACACUCAGCAUGGUGUGGUCAUUUCUGAAGAGUACGCACACAUGAAACUUCCUCUUAUUGGUUCAUUUCACUUACGAAUUUCUUCCUACG
This 2576-nucleotide long non-coding RNA is filed under the name Podarcis lilfordi (Lilford's wall lizard). The record is from RNAcentral. Lineage: Eukaryota; Metazoa; Chordata; Lepidosauria; Squamata; Lacertidae.